This is a long non-coding RNA of Cyprinus carpio (common carp), 1266 nucleotides long. RefSeq lists it as uncharacterized. NCBI's taxonomy places the organism in Eukaryota, Metazoa, Chordata, Actinopteri, Cypriniformes, Cyprinidae. The record is from RefSeq and is a predicted model, not a curated record.
UAACUUUUUAUCCACUGCACUAAUUGUACCGUCCGCCAGGUGGCACCAACACAACGCCAUUUAAAUGUGUUCCAGGUGUUCACUGUUGCCUACAGCAGCACCAGCAGCUCUCAAUAACAAUAACAAGCAGAGAACGGAUUUUGGAACCUGGUAUUCCGGGGAUUUGUGAGGACAGAAGUAAAGGUCGGAUCCGAGGCUACUAGGACUAGUGACAAAUGAAGAGACAAGCUUCCAGGCCUGGAACCAAUUAAAGCAGGAGAAGCCCCUCCACAAGUCCACCAGAGGCGCUUUCGGCAUGGAGACAGAGGCAGGUGCUACUCUGGAGAAGUAAUCAACAGCACCUCUGUUCUAAGGGGUUUGAGUUGGAUGCCAAGGGUCGCCGUGUCAAGGUCACGUCAAGCAACAGUGAGCAACUGAUGCAACAGAUGGCAGAGCAAAUGCUACCUCAUACUGAGCCAGAUUAGCCAUCAGAGACUCAUGUGUCCAACACCUGCAGUUAGUAGAAGUUUCCCCUUCAAACACAUCUGAAACAAUUUCUGUGGUGUCUGAAUAGUUCCUCUGCCUGAGCCAAGAAUUCGCAGGCUUUUAAAAGGUCAGCUCUACACCAUUCGUUUAUUAUCCAUGUAUGCUCAGCUGGUGAAUUCUGUCUUUUAAGUGUAUCCUGGUGUCUAUCAGACAUCAGUCUACUUGAAAAUCACCUUUGCUCACUGUGAACUAGGAAUAUCUACCAGAUGUUGAGACAUCUGCUAAACAGUUUUUACACAUUUCCUCCUACAUGAAGUACAGUGAUCACAUGUGAACAAACAAGAUAAUGCAGAAAUGACAUGAAUUUAGACUUGUUGUCCAUUCACAUUGAUUAGUCUGGUUGACGUAUAUACCUGAAGACUGGUUCAUAUAUAACUAUAAUGAUAAAUACUGCCGUCCACAACAAUGCAGAAUAUCAUUGCAUGUUAUUUUUCAUAAUUUACUUUUAUUACAGUAAUGAGUGUGGAAAAAGGACAUUGUAAAAAAGUGUUGCUUAAGUUUUGUUCAUUGCUAAUUCAUGUUUUUUAUUAAUACAAACAAUACAAUGUUAAUUUUUACAAAUGACAAAAAAUAUGUGUAGAAAUAAACAUUAUUUCGAAUUCGAGUACCACACAAAUUACCAAUCAAUCAGAAACCAGUAAGUGUUAUGCUACACUGACUCUCUGCACAUAAAAUAAGCGUCCUGGGUGUUUAGUUAUCUGGGAGCUCUCUUUUAUCCUUGUUGGUUGACUCACCAGGCUG